This 472-nucleotide ribosomal RNA is filed under the name uncultured bacterium. RNAcentral's name for it is "partial 16S ribosomal RNA". It matches the Rfam family "Bacterial small subunit ribosomal RNA", at positions 34 to 507 of the family's 1533-position model. The record is from RNAcentral.
CGCUGGCGGCGUGCCUAACACAUGCAAGUCGAACGGAGUCCAGCCUUUAAGACCUUCGGGUCAAAGAGGGGAAGACUGAGUGGCGGACGGGUGAGUAACACGUGGGCAACCUGGCUCAUAGAGGGGGAUAACAGAGAGAAAUUUCUGCUAAUACCGCAUAAGCACACACUGCCGCAUGGCAGAGGGGGAAAAGAGAAUCGCUAUGAGAUGGACCCGCGUCUGAUUAGCCAGUUGGCAGGGUAAGAGCCUACCAAAGCGACGAUCAGUAGCCGAUCUGAGAGGAUGAACGGCCACAUUGGGACUGAGACACGGCCCAAACUCCUACGGGAGGCAGCAGUGGGGGAUAUUGCACAAUGGGGGGAACCCUGAUGCAGCGACGCCGCGUGAGUGAAGAAGUAUUUCGGUAUGUAAAGCUCUAUCAGCAGGGAAGAUAAUGACAGUACCUGAAUAAGAAGCCCCGGCUAACUACGUG